CCGUCUCUUCCAUGGAGUUCAUCACUUAUUGAAGGAGCUUCCUAAAUCUAUUCUCCAUUCGAUAGGCCAUGACUUUGGACUUGUAUAUACAUGUGGAGUCAUAAGCUUAUGCUUUAAACUCCUUACGAUCUUGUUAUGAAGGCAAGCUUUCACACAGACCAUUUGGAAUAGUGUCAAGCUUGUGGAAGUUUUGAAUGUAGUUUUGUAUGUCC
RNAcentral lists this small RNA (212 nucleotides) under Vigna angularis var. angularis. RNAcentral's name for it is "Non-protein coding transcript". The record is from RNAcentral. Lineage: Eukaryota; Viridiplantae; Streptophyta; Magnoliopsida; Fabales; Fabaceae.